Molecule: ribosomal RNA, 301 nt
Filed under: uncultured bacterium
Lineage: Bacteria
Description: partial 16S ribosomal RNA
Rfam family: Bacterial small subunit ribosomal RNA
Source: RNAcentral
CAGCAGCCGCGGUAAUACGUAGGUGGCAAGCGUUGUCCGGAAUUAUUGGGCGUAAAGGGCUCGCAGGCGGUUUCUUAAGUCUGAUGUGAAAGCCCCCGGCUCAACCGGGGAGGGUCAUUGGAAACUGGGAAACUUGAGUGCAGAAGAGGAGAGUGGAAUUCCACGUGUAGCGGUGAAAUGCGUAGAGAUGUGGAGGAACACCAGUGGCGAAGGCGACUCUCUGGUCUGUAACUGACGCUGAGGAGCGAAAGCGUGGGGAGCGAACAGGAUUAGAUACCCGCGUAGUCCCUGUCUCUUAUAC